RNAcentral lists this small nucleolar RNA (245 nucleotides) under Sorex araneus (European shrew). Its description in RNAcentral is "Small Cajal body specific RNA 6 (ENSSARG00000019080.1)". Lineage: Eukaryota; Metazoa; Chordata; Mammalia; Eulipotyphla; Soricidae. The record is from RNAcentral.
GGUCGAUGAUGAUUGGUAAAAGGUCUGAUCGCACCGCGUCACGGCGCUGCCCUCGGCUCCCAGCUGCCCGUGCUCUCCCCGCCCAUCCAAGUCGUGCGCGAGGGGCACGGGGGAGCUGACAGUGUGGGACUCUGCCGGUGCGCGCCCCUGCGAGUGCCCGGGGCCCGGCCGGCAAUGUCCAACAGCCUGGGACCCGUCCAGCAGUGAGCAGGAGCCCGGCGAGCGCGGCCGUCGUGACGGCGACG